AUUGAACGCUGGCGGCAGGCCUAACACAUGCAAGUCGAGCGAGCGGCGGACGGGUGAGUAAUGUCUGGGAAACUGCCUGAUGGAGGGGGAUAACUCCUGGAAACGGUAGCUAAUACCGCAUACCCUCAGAUGUGCCCAGAUGGGAGUAGCUAGUAGGUUGGGUAACGGCUCACCUAGGCGACGAUCCCUAGCUGGUCUGAGAGGAUGACCAGCAAGACUGGAAGUGAGACACGGUCCAGACUCCUACGGGAGGCAGCAGUGGGGAAUAUUGCACAAUGGGCGCAAGCCUGAUGUAGCCAUGCCGCGUGUAUGAAGAAGGCCUUCGGGUUGUAAAGUACUUUCAGCGGGGAGGCGUGACCCGCAGAAGAAGCACCGGCUAAGUCAGUGCCAGCAGCCGCGGUAAAAC
This 406-nucleotide ribosomal RNA is filed under the name uncultured bacterium. RNAcentral's name for it is "partial 16S ribosomal RNA". It matches the Rfam family "Bacterial small subunit ribosomal RNA", at positions 30 to 526 of the family's 1533-position model. The record is from RNAcentral.